Molecule: ribosomal RNA, 250 nt
Filed under: uncultured bacterium
Lineage: Bacteria
Description: partial 16S ribosomal RNA
Rfam family: Bacterial small subunit ribosomal RNA
Source: RNAcentral
UACGUAGGCUCCAAGCGUUGUUCGGAAUUACUGGGCGUAAAGCGAGUGUAGGCGGUCCGUCAAGUUGGUUGUGAAAUCUCCUGGCUCAACUGGGAGGGUGCGACCAAAACUGACGGACUGGAGUCCGGGAGAGGAGAGUGGAAUUCCUGGUGUAGCGGUGAAAUGCGUAGAUAUCAGGAGGAACACCGGUGGUGAAGACGGCUCUCUGGACCGGUACUGACGCUGAGACUCGAAAGCGUGGGGAGCAAAC